Molecule: ribosomal RNA, 468 nt
Filed under: uncultured bacterium
Lineage: Bacteria
Description: partial 16S ribosomal RNA
Rfam family: Bacterial small subunit ribosomal RNA
Source: RNAcentral
GACGAACGCUGGCGGCGUGCUUAACACAUGCAAGUCGAACGGAAAGGCCCUGCUCUUGUGGGGUGCACGAGUGGCGCACGGGUGAGUAACACGUGAGUAAACUGUCCUUGUAUUUGGGAUAACUCUUGGAAACUGGGGCUAAUACCGGAUAGGAGCUCCUGCAGCAUGGUGGGGGUUGGAAAGUUUCGGCGGUUGGGGAUGGACUCGCGGCUUAUCCGCUUGUUGGUGGGGUAGUGGCUUACCAAGGCUGUGACGGGUAGCCGGCCUGAGCGGGUGACCGGCCACAUUGGGACUGAGAGACGGCCCAGACUCCUACGGGAGGCAGCAGUGGGGAAUAUUGCACAAUGGGCGGAAGCCUGAUGCAGCAACGCCGCGUGCGGGAUGACGGCCUUCGGGUUGUAAACCGCUUUCGCCUGUGACGAAGCGUGAGUGACGGUAAUGGGUAAAGAAGCACCGGCUAACUACGUG